Molecule: long non-coding RNA, 666 nt
Filed under: Homo sapiens (human)
Lineage: Eukaryota; Metazoa; Chordata; Mammalia; Primates; Hominidae
Description: HSALNT0035848
Source: RNAcentral
CCCAGCUCAGUUCCUCAUUUUAUAAGUAAUGUUUAAGAGCAAUGACCCACUCCUACUUUCAGCAAAGAGGUGCACAUAGCAUAGACCCAUAGAAGAGGAAGGAUCUGAGAAGGAGUUUGAAAAAAGUGUAGGAGAGGCUGCGAGAAAACAAGGCAGGUGUCCUGGCUGAGGGCAGGAAGGAGACAUUGCGAUGGAAAUUGUGCCCCAUUUUCUUGGAGGAUUGGGAAGAGGACCUGUGGACUGGGCGGCCCACACAACUGCUGUAACCUCAGGCAGUUUUCAAGCAGAUUGACCUUCCUGCUGGAACACGGCACAUGAGGGUUGCUUGGCCUUGCCUCCACCAUGCCUGACACUGGCGCUCUGCUGGGAGGAAAAAGCUUGCUCUGUUGCUGGCUGUGUGGAACAGAGAGGGAAGUGGCAGACAGUCUGGGCCCAGCACUUGGGUAUCGUGCUCUAGCCAUGCGACUCAUCUCUCCAGUUCAGACCUGCCCCUGGAAAAAAGAGCCCAGACCUCAUCAUGAAUGCUUUCCUAGGAGAAAAUGAACAGCUGGACAAUGCUCCUGGUCAGUAGGCCUGAAGGAUGCUGGGAUGCAGCCCUCAAGAUGGAACAGCCAGGAUGCCAAGUAUCCCUCUUGCCCAGAUCCUAAGGCACUUUUUCUACUGAUC